GCUGGGCACGGUGGCAUUUGCCUGUAAUCCCAGCAACAUGGGAGGCUGAGGCAGGAGGAUUGCGAGUUCAAAGCCAGCCUCAGCAAUGAUGAGGCACUAAGCAACUCAGUGAGACCCUGCCUCUA
Molecule: small RNA, 125 nt
Filed under: Marmota monax (woodchuck)
Lineage: Eukaryota; Metazoa; Chordata; Mammalia; Rodentia; Sciuridae
Source: RNAcentral